UAUAAGUUGCAGUGGCAUAAAAGGAAGAAAACAAAACUAGUCCUAACUGGAGAGGCAACAGUUGCUUGUUCACUGGGUGGGCCAAACUGCAAAAUGAACAAAAGUGGAGUCAGAAAGCAAAACAAUCUGAUAGAAUUUGAGAAACCUCAAGAAAAUCAGUAUCUAGGCUCUAAAAUGGUAGAGUACAAAUUGUGACAAAGGAGAGUACCAAGAAAUAAAGACUAUAGACGUAGGUAGGAGGUAGGAGCUACCUAUCUCGACCACAGAGCAGUGUAAGCAUUAGGAAGCCAGGUUUAUAGUUGAGACAGAUCUGUCUGGCAACAAUGUAAAAUGGAUUAGGGGAAGGGGGUGAGAAAGAUGGUUGUCAGAGAGACCAGUAUAGGUGACCGGUUAUGAAAACUUAAAUUAAGGCAACAGUGCAAUGGAGAUAGAAAGGCAGGAAUGUUAGAUGUAGUAAGCAGAUGACAGAACUGAUAACACUCAAUCAUCAUCAACUGGAGUGAGGGGCAGGGAUUGGGCACAGGUGCCAGAUGAAGGAAAAAGCAGAGUGGAGAAUAAAAUCUGGGUUCAAGUGACAGGUGAAUGGUGGUGUUACUCAUUGAGAAGAGGAACAGUUCAGGGAGGGAAGGAAAGUGUGUUCUGGUUUUGAAUGUGUAGAGUCUGUGAUGCAUUCGAAACAGCCAAUUCUAAUAUACAUGGGAAUAUAAUCUGCAACCCUGAGGAGAUAAACGCCUGGGUAAAGGAGAUAAAUGUCUAGGUGAAAGGUAUGGCAGUAACAGAAACAAUAGGAGUGGAUAAGAUCACUCAGAUAAAGUACUGAAUAAAAAGAAACAGACUAAAAACCAGUAACAAAAGGCUUCUGGGGAUACCAAUAAUUAAGUGACAGAGAAGUCCACAGAAGACAGAGGCUGAGCAGUCAUAAAGGCAGAAGCAGAACCUAGAGAAUGAUGUCAUGGAAACCAAGGUAACACAGUUUUCAGAAGGACAGAGUGAGCAAAUGGAGUCAUUAAUAGACCGGUUUUUCACAAAUCAACUGGCUGGUAAAAUUUUCACAAUGCCAAAUGUAAGUAGAUGCAAGCUUUUGCUCAAAUUCCCCUUGUUGGGAAUGGGAAACUGAUUCCUCUGAAAAUGGUGUCUGGAGUGAAGUGUUCUCAUAUUGUGGCUGUGAGGAAAGAAAAAAGGAGGUGUCUGCAUGCCUAAUCCUCCCUGGUCGUGUGACAAGAACCUCAUUUUUUUCUACAACAGUAUAAGACAAGUACUUAGGCAACAGAUGAAGAUCUUCUCAAGAAGACAUUAAAACUACUUUACUCUUCACAAGUCAUCUGCUAAAAAAUUUUUCCCGUGGCUGACAAUUACCUUAAGAAGGUGGUUUUUCUUUCUUUUCUUUUUUUUUUUUUUUUUAACAUUUCUUGGCAUCAAGAAAAAAGAUUAAACAGAAGAAACAACUAUGCAUAAAGAGAAAGGGCAACUGACAACACUAUUUGCUUUUAUAGCACUUUGAACCAUUGGCAGAAUGGACUGCUAAAGUACUUGCCAAAUACUUCCACAAAUAUACACAAAACAAAAUGAGAAUGUAUUAUUCUGUGUUGUAACUCACUUGAUCUAAACCCUUUAGAAAUAAACAAAAAUUGAGCUCUGAAACUGGGAAAACAGGAAUAAAGAAAAAGGAUUCCUUUCCCUGUAAUUAAGAAGAUGCACUAUAUUUAAAAAUUACCAAACCAGCAGCAGUCUAGCUUAUGAUAGUCUUCCUUACUAAACUUACACCCUGAUUCAUAAAAUAGUUAAAAGAGAGAACAAAACCUGACAUCCUACCAAAUGCUGUAGGAUGACUUAAAAGUAAUUUUUUAAACCCAUGUGUAUCUACCUGCCUCUAAACACGACAGUUACGGACACAUUUUACCUUCUAAGGAGAAUGGCUUUUAUAAUGAAGCCAGCAUCUAUACUAUAUUAAAUGAAAUUACAGAAUGGAAUUUGAAGUACCUAGUAAAAUUCAAGAAUAAAAAAAUCAUAUUGUGAAGUCUUAAA
Non-coding RNA from Macaca mulatta (Rhesus monkey), 2025 nucleotides. NCBI's taxonomy places the organism in Eukaryota, Metazoa, Chordata, Mammalia, Primates, Cercopithecidae. The record is from RefSeq and is a predicted model, not a curated record.